RNAcentral lists this ribosomal RNA (253 nucleotides) under uncultured bacterium. RNAcentral's name for it is "partial 16S ribosomal RNA". It matches the Rfam family "Bacterial small subunit ribosomal RNA", at positions 524 to 776 of the family's 1533-position model. The record is from RNAcentral.
UACGUAGGGUGCAAGCGUUGUCCGGAAUUAUUGGGCGUAAAGAGCUCGUAGGCGGUCUGUCGCGUCUGCUGUGAAAACUCAGGGCUUAACCCUGAGCUUGCAGUGGGUACGGGCAGACUAGAGUGCGGUAGGGGAGGCUGGAAUUCCAGGUGUAGCGGUGAAAUGCGUAGAUAUCUGGAGGAACACCGGUGGCGAAGGCGGCAUCCGGGACCGGCAUUGACGCUGAGGAGCGAAAGCCAGGGGAGCAAACGGG